RNAcentral lists this long non-coding RNA (1877 nucleotides) under Mus musculus (house mouse). Its description in RNAcentral is "long non-coding RNA chr16:43198269-43200146". The record is from RNAcentral. Lineage: Eukaryota; Metazoa; Chordata; Mammalia; Rodentia; Muridae.
GAUAAGUGGAUAUUAGCCCAAAAGUUCAGAAUACCCAAGAUUCAAUUCACAGACCAUAUGAAGCCUUAGAAGAUGGAAGACCAAAAUGUGGAUGCUUCACUGCUUCUUAGAAGGGAGAACAAAAUACUCAAAGGAGGAAAUAUGGAGACAAAGUGUGGAGCCGAGACUGAAGCAAAGGCCACCCAGAGAGUGCCCUACCAGGGGAUCCAUUCAUAUAUAGCCUCCAAACCCGGAUGUUACUGUGGAUGCUGAGAAGUGCUUGUUGAUGGAAGCCUGAUAUGGCUGCCUUCUGAGAUGCUCUUCCAGAGCCUGACAAAUACAGAGGAAGAAGUUUGUAGCCAACCAUUGGACUGAGUUCAGAGGUCCCUGAUGGAGGAGAAGGGACUGAAGGAGCUGAGGUGGUUUGCAGCCACAUAGAGGGAACAACAGUGUCAAUACACCAGACCCCACCUCCCCGGAGAUUCUGGGGACUGGACCACCAACCAAAGAAUACACAUGGAGGGACCCAUGGCUCUUGCCACAUAUGUAGCAGAGGAUGGCCUUGUUGGACAUCAGUGAAAGGAGAAGCCCUUGGGCCUGAGGGCGUUAGAUGCCCCAGUGUAGGGGAAUGCCGGGAGAAUGGGAGUGGGUGGGUGGGGGAGCACCUUCAUAGAGGCAGGGGGAGGGAGGAUGUGAUUGGGGGGUUCUGAAGGGGAGACCUGGAAAGGGGAAAACAUUUGAAAUGUAAAUAAAGAAGAUAUCCAAUUUAAAAAGGCAAAAAAGAAGAAUAUAGAUAUGAGCUCUGCAUGCUGAGCUGUAUUUACAACCUCUUAAGGUAUAAGAAACUAACUCAGUGCACACAUCAUUACAAAAUGACAAAUUGUCUCCAUGAAAAGUACUGUGUAUGCAAGAGGAUAGUUGGUGAGGUAAGGCUAAUUGUAAUCAUCAUUAAAGCAUCAGUUCUGAGGUUGAGGAGCCUGGCUCUCCUGAAAUGUAGGCCUAAGGUAGGACGCAUUUCCCAUAUGUAUAAACAGAGAAUGCUGACAACCUUCCGAGAUAAGGCCAAGCUCAUUUCCUUUGUGAUUAAUAAUUAUUAAAGCCUGGUUGCUGGUUAACCCACUUUUUAAAUAUUUUACAGUAUUCUUUACAUAAGUAAAGAAUAUGUGUCAACAAUAUCUUUUACUCCUAGAUUGUACUUUUUCCUGUUAAAUCUUAACCUUAUCUUUUAAUGUGGUAUAUUUUACCUUAUGCAAUUAACAGUGGUCUAGAAACAAUGAAAGCCUUGAAAAUUGUUACUUUCUACAGCAAUACUAAAUUUCUAGAUUGAAGAACAAAUCAGAUGGUCUUAAAACAUGUUACCUUAGUAUCCUAGGAAAUCACUAAACCAGAACAGAGGUAGUGGUUUGUUUUCAUGAUAUUGUAAAUUAGCCUUUUCAAUUAAAAACAAUAAAUAGAGGAAAUUUUAAUAUUAGGCUAUAAAAAAGUAGGUUAUGAUAUAAAGAAAUGAAAAUUAUCUGUCAUAAUUGAGAUAGAAGAUAUCACCAUGGGAAAACACUACAGCAGCCAAGAACCUUUAGGUUCUUUUUCUUGUCUUCUUAUUUCGGAGAUGAGCAAAAUUCAGGCCUAGGAUUCAUAUCUAAGUUACACAGUUAACUAUACAGCCAUCUAAUUAAAUACUUAAUAGCCCAAGUGGGAAAGCUGGACCUGUGAGCCCUAAUUCACAUUACCACAUGCAAACCCCCUGAUGGAUGAUCACAGUCCCCACCAUAACCCUGUCACCUUUAUGCAGAAGCCUCUGUUAAUAGAAAUAUGAACAACAUAGGUGACUCUCAGUUUGUUUACUUAAUGUACCAGAUACCUUUUAAAAGUUGUCAUUGCUACUCACAUUGUAGCUAUUC